AUACGGAGGGAGCGAGCGUUAAUCGGAAUUACUGGGCGUAAAGCGCGCGUAGGCGGCUUUGUCAGUCGGAUGUGAAAGCCCUGGGCUCAACCUGGGAAUGGCAUUCGAUACUGCAGAGCUAGAGUAUGGUAGAGGGAAGUGGAAUUUCCGGUGUAGCGGUGAAAUGCGUAGAUAUCGGAAGGAACACCAGUGGCGAAGGCGACUUCCUGGGCCAAUACUGACGCUGAGGCGCGAAAGCUAGGGGAGCAAACAGGAGUAGAAACCCCAGUAGUCC
RNAcentral lists this ribosomal RNA (274 nucleotides) under uncultured bacterium. RNAcentral's name for it is "partial 16S ribosomal RNA". It matches the Rfam family "Bacterial small subunit ribosomal RNA", at positions 523 to 796 of the family's 1533-position model. The record is from RNAcentral.